GCACCAGCCUAGCCCGCCCAAAACAAAUAAAACUUAACAAAAAAAUAAUCUCACUAAAACUAACCAAAACAUUUCUACCACCCCAGUAUAGGCGAUAGAAAAGACAAUCCGGAGCAAUAGAGACAGUACCGCAAGGGAAAAAUGAAAAAUAAUGAAACUUACUAAGCCACAAAAAGCAAAGAUUAACCCUUGUACCUUUUGCAUCAUGAUUUAGCCAGCAUACUCAAGCAAAGGGCCCUAAAGUCUGAGCCCCCGAAACCAAAUGAGCUACUUAUAAGACAAGCCAUUAACCAUGACUAAACCCGUCUCUGUGGCAAAAGAGUGGGAAGAUCUAUAAGUAGAGGUGAAAAGCCUAACGAAUUUGGUGAUAGCUGGUUGCUCAACAAAAGAAUAUAAGUUCAACCUUAAACCUUCUAUAAACAACUCAAAGUACAAAGAAAAGUUUAAGAGCUAUUCAAUUGAGGUACAGCUCAAUUGAAAAAGGAUACAACCUCACAACGUAGGACAAAACACUAAAAAUAAAACUACCGUAGGCUUUAAAGCAGCCAUCGCCUAAGAAAGCGUCAAAGCUCUAUUAAUCAUUAAAUAACAACAUCAAAAUUUUUCCACAAACAACACUGAGCUAUUCUACCUAAAUAGAAGAACCAAUGCUAAAAUGAGUAACAAGAAGACAAAACUUCUCUGAUGCAUCAACUUAAAUCAUAAUAGACAAACUACUGAUUAUUAACAAUUAUACUACAACAUAACAACAAUUAAAACACCUUAUAGACUUAACUGUUAACCCAACACAGGAAUGCAUACAAGAAAGAUUAAAAUUUGCAAAAGGAAUUAGGCAAAUAAAUGAACCCGACUGUUUACCAAAAACAUAGCCCCCAGCAACAUACAAGUAUUAGGGGUAAUGCCUGCCCAGUGACACCAUUUAAACGGCCGCGGUAUUCUAACCGUGCAAAGGUAGCGUAAUCACUUGUCCUUUAAAUAAGGACUAGAAUGAAUGGCCAAACGAGGUUCUACCUGUCUCUUGCAAACAAUCAGUGAAAUUGAUCCCCCUGUGCAAAAGCAGGAAUAACAUUAUAAGACGAGAAGACCCUGUGGAACUUUAAAUACAAAUCAAAUAACACUAACACCCACCUACGGGCCAACAUUCAAUUUAACACCUGAUUUAUAUUUUUCGGUUGGGGCGACCUCGGAGUAAAACAAAACCUCCGAAAAAUGGAACUUCUCCAAACCUAGGCUUACAAUUCAAAGUGCCUGCGGCAAAACGAUCCAACAUAUUUGAUCAACGAACCAAGCUACCCCAGGGAUAACAGCGCAAUCCCAUCCUAGAGUCCAUAUCGACGAUGGGGUUUACGACCUCGAUGUUGGAUCAGGACAUCCUGAUGGUGCAACCGCUAUCAAGGGUUCGUUUGUUCAACGAUUAACAGUCCUACGUGAUCUGAGUUCAGACCGGAGUAAUCCAGGUCGGUUUCUAUCUAUAAAUUUGAGCCUUUUCUAGUACGAAAGGACCGAAAAGACAAGGCCCAUAUCAUAAACAAGCCUUACCUUACAUUAGUGAAAACAACUCAACUAAAAAUAAGACAAAGCAAACCACAGCCCUAAAAAAGGGCCUA
Molecule: ribosomal RNA, 1607 nt
Filed under: Rhinoclemmys punctularia
Lineage: Eukaryota; Metazoa; Chordata; Testudines; Geoemydidae
Description: 16S ribosomal RNA
Rfam family: Bacterial large subunit ribosomal RNA (bases 97-1492)
Source: RNAcentral